AUUGAACGCUGGCGGCAUGCCUUACACAUGCAAGUCGAACGGCAGCACGGACCUCGGUCUGGUGGCGAGUGGCGAACGGGUGAGUAAUACAUCGGAACGUGCCCAGUAAUGGGGGAUAACGCAGCGAAAGUUGUGCUAAUACCGCAUACGCCCUGAGGGGGAAAGUGGGGGAUCGCAAGACCUCAUGUUAUUGGAGCGGCCGCUGGCUGAUUAGCUAGUUGGCGAGGUAAAGGCUCACCAAGUCGACGAUCAGUAGCUGGUCUGAGAGGACGACCAGCCACACUGGGACUGAGACACGGCCCAGACUCCUACGGGAGGCAGCAGUGGGGAAUAUUGGACAAUGGGCGAAAGCCUGAUCCAGCCAUGCCGCGUGUGUUAAGAAGGUCUUCGGAUUGUAAAGCACUUUAAGUUGGGAGGAAGGGUUGUAAGCUAAUAUCUUGCAGCUUUGACGUUACCAACAGAAUAAGCACCGGCUAACUCUGUGCCAGCCGCCGCAGUAA
RNAcentral lists this ribosomal RNA (500 nucleotides) under uncultured bacterium. Its description in RNAcentral is "partial 16S ribosomal RNA". It matches the Rfam family "Bacterial small subunit ribosomal RNA", at positions 30 to 523 of the family's 1533-position model. The record is from RNAcentral.